CUUUGUUAGUGGAACCACGUUAGGGAAAGAAGACGAAGUGACCUAUAGGUUAAAUUGAAGGUUUUAUUACUCUGCUGUUAGUUCAAAUAAUAAAUUUUAAGUAAAACAGAGUCUCGUAGCUCAGCUGGUUAGAGUACUACACUGAUAAUGUAGGGGUCGGCAGUUCGAGUCUGCCCGGGACUACUUUUUAAGAAUUGAUAAUUAAUUAAUUGUUAAUUGAUAAUUACACCGACUGUAAUGCUUUAAAAGGCAAUUUUAGAAGUUGAAAGAUUAAGAAUCGAAAAAGUUCAUAAUUUUUAAUUCACGAUUUUUAAUUUUUAAUUAAAAUUGGGGGAUUAGCUCAGCUGGCUAGAGCGCCUGCCUUGCACGCAGGAGGUCAACGGCUUCGACUCCGUUAUUCUCCACAGAUCCGAAAGGAUAAAAGCUCAUUGACAUAUUGGGAUAAGAACAUAAUAAUAAGUAGAGAGCAUUGUUUAUUAACUGUAGGUAAUACAGUACAUAAAAAAGCGGUCUUGAUUUAUCAUGGCUGGUACAAUAAGCAAAAUAAGGGCGUAUGGGGGAUGCCUAGA
This 569-nucleotide unclassified non-coding RNA is filed under the name Flavobacterium hydatis. RNAcentral's name for it is "partial 16S-23S ribosomal RNA intergenic spacer". The stretch from base 110 to 183 matches the Rfam family "tRNA". Lineage: Bacteria; Pseudomonadati; Bacteroidota; Flavobacteriia; Flavobacteriales; Flavobacteriaceae. The record is from RNAcentral.